GACGAACGCUGGCGGCGCGCUUAACACUUGCAAGUCGAACGGAAAGGCCUGCUUUCCCUUGUGGAUUGCGGGUACUCGAGUGGCGAACGGGUGAGUAACACGUGAGUGAUCUGCCCCCAACUUGGGUAUAAGCCUGGGAAACUGGGUCUAAUUCCCGAUAGGACUGCAGGGUGGUGCCUGUGGUGGAAAACGAUUUUCUAGUGGUUGGGGAUGAGCUCGCGGCCUAUCAGCUUGUUGGUGGGGUAAUGGCCUACCAAGGCGGCGACGGGUAGCCGGCCUGAGAGGGUGGACGGCCACAUUGGGACUGAGAUACGGCCCAGACUCCUACGGGAGGCAGCAGUGGGGAAUAUUGCACAAUGGGCGGAAGCCUGAUGCAGCGACGCCGCGUGGGGGAUGACGGCCUUCGGGUUGUAAACUCCUUUCGACCGCGAGGAAGCCACCUGGUUGGAAGGGUGGUGACGGUAGUGGUAGAAGAAGCACCGGCUAACUACGUG
Molecule: ribosomal RNA, 494 nt
Filed under: uncultured bacterium
Lineage: Bacteria
Description: partial 16S ribosomal RNA
Rfam family: Bacterial small subunit ribosomal RNA
Source: RNAcentral